CAGUCGCCGCGGUAAUCCGUAGGUGGCAAGCGUUGUCCGGAAUUAUUGGGCGUAAAGGGCGCGCAGGCGGCUUCUUAAGUCUGUCUUAAAAGUGCGGGGCUUAACCCCGUGAUGGGAUGGAAACUGGGAAGCUCAGAGUAUCGGAGAGGAAAGCGGAAUUCCUAGUGUAGCGGUGAAAUGCGUAGAUAUUAGGAGGAACACCAGUGGCGAAAGCGGCUUUCUGGACGAAAACUGACGCUGAGGCGCGAAAGCCAGGGGAGCAAACAGGAUUAGAUACCCCCGUAGUCCCUGUCUCUUAUAC
Molecule: ribosomal RNA, 301 nt
Filed under: uncultured bacterium
Lineage: Bacteria
Description: partial 16S ribosomal RNA
Rfam family: Bacterial small subunit ribosomal RNA
Source: RNAcentral